GAUGAACGCUGGCGGCGUGCCUAAUACAUGCAAGUCGAGCGAACAGACGAGGAGCUUGCUCCUCUGACGUUAGCGGCGGACGGGUGAGUAACACGUGGAUAACCUACCUAUAAGACUGGGAUAACUUCGGGAAACCGGAGCUAAUACCGGAUAAUAUAUUGAACCGCAUGGUUCAAUAGUGAAAGACGGUUUUGCUGUCACUUAUAGAUGGAUCCGCGCCGCAUUAGCUAGUUGGUAAGGUAACGGCUUACCAAGGCAACGAUGCGUAGCCGACCUGAGAGGGGGGUCGGCCACCCUGGAACUGAGACACGGUCCAGACCCCUACGGGAGGCAGCAGUAGGGAAUCUUCCGCAAUUGGCGAAAGCCUGACGGAGCCACGCCGGGUGAGUGAAUAAGGUUCUCGGAUCGGAAAACUCUGUUAAUAGGGAAGAAAAAAUGGGGAAGUAACCAUUCACGGUUUGACGGUAACUAAUCAGAAAGCCACGGCUAACUACGUG
Molecule: ribosomal RNA, 497 nt
Filed under: uncultured bacterium
Lineage: Bacteria
Description: partial 16S ribosomal RNA
Rfam family: Bacterial small subunit ribosomal RNA
Source: RNAcentral